This 270-nucleotide ribosomal RNA is filed under the name uncultured bacterium. RNAcentral describes it as "partial 16S ribosomal RNA". It matches the Rfam family "Bacterial small subunit ribosomal RNA", at positions 524 to 790 of the family's 1533-position model. The record is from RNAcentral.
UACGUAGGGUGCAAGCGUUAUCCGGAAUUAUUGGGCGUAAAGAGCUCGUAGGCGGUUUGUCGCGUCUGCUGUGAAAACUGGAGGCUCAACCUCCAGCCUGCAGUGGGUACGGGCAGACUAGAGUGCGGUAGGGGAGAAUGGAACUCCUGGUGUAGCGGUGGAAUGCGCAGAUAUCAGGAAGAACACCCGAUGGCGAAGGCAGUUCUCUGGGCCGUAACUGACGCUGAGGAGCGAAAGACGUGGGGGAGCGAACAGGAUUAGACUACCGAG